RNAcentral lists this long non-coding RNA (718 nucleotides) under Heterocephalus glaber (naked mole-rat). RNAcentral's name for it is "lncRNA (ENSHGLG00100037998.1)". Lineage: Eukaryota; Metazoa; Chordata; Mammalia; Rodentia; Bathyergidae. The record is from RNAcentral.
AACAUGCCUUUGUGAUGCCACAACCUGUGAUGAGAGGAAGUGAGGUAAAUGAUGUAGGCACCGCUAGCACUGUGACACUGUGUCAACCAGAUAACAAAGACAGCCAGUAAGGGACUAACAGGCAGGAGCAUAUACAGCAUGGAUAUGUCAGACAGAGGGAUGGACUGGGCAGGAUGAAGCAGGAUGGUGCAAGAUAUUAUCAUGCUACUCAGAAAGGUUAGAACUCUGCUGUGUGUGCUUUACACUGGCUCCCAGAGUCUCUGCAGCAGAAUCAAGCUCUGGAACUCAGCUGGGUCUGUAUGAACUAAGGCAAGAAAAGGAACAAAGGUUGAGAGGCUUAGAGAAGAGCAAGCUUCCUUUUGAUAUGACUUCUCUAGAAAACCAGAAAGAUGCAUUACUCAGAUUAAUUAGAGUUUUUCAAGAUGGCUGACUGAAAAAUUAAUGUACAGAAAAGCAAUUCUGGGAGAGGGGAGGGAGAGGAGAGGAAGGGAAUCUUAAAAAAAUCAGAUGUAUUAUGUGCAUGCACCACUCCCCACAAUAAAUGUAAUCAUAUACUGCAGACAUUUGCUAAUAAAAAUAAAACAUUUUAAAAAUCAACCUUUCUACCAGCAACAAAUGAUGAGAAAAGGAAAUUUGUAAAAAGGUUUGCUUCAAUCAAGCAUAAAAAUCAAAUACCGAUGAAUAAAUAUAAAAGAUGGCCAAGAUCUCUACACAGAAC